Molecule: small nuclear RNA, 109 nt
Organism: Suncus etruscus (white-toothed pygmy shrew)
Lineage: Eukaryota; Metazoa; Chordata; Mammalia; Eulipotyphla; Soricidae
Source: RefSeq, a predicted model, not a curated record
GUGCUCGCUUUGGCAGCACAUAUACUAAAAUUGGAAUGAUACAGAGAAGAUUAGCAUGGCCCCUGCACAAAGAUUUAACCUUCCUGCAGCAAACCCAAUGCAGAAGUCU